CCUACGGGCGGCACCAGUGGGGAAUAUUGGACAAUGGGCGCAAGCCUGAUCCAGCCAUGCCGCGUGAGUGAAGAAGGCCUUAGGGUUGUAAAGCUCAUUCACCGGUGAAGAUAAUGACGGUAACCGGAGAAGAAGCCCCGGCUAACUUCGUGCCAGCAGCCGCGGUAAUACGAAGGGGGCUAGCGUUGUUUGGAAUAACUGGGCGUAAAGCGCGCGUAGGCGGAUAGAUAAGUCAGAGGUGAAAUCCCGGGGCUCAACCCCGGAAUUGCCUUUGAUACUGUUUAUCUUGAGUGCAGAAGAGGUAAGUGGAAUUCCGAGUGUAGAGGUGAAAUUCGUAGAUAUUCGGAGGAACACCAGUGGCGAAGGCGGCUUACUGGUCUGCAACUGACGCUGAGGCGCGAAAGCGUGGGGAGCAAACAGGAUUAGAUACCCUGGUAGUC
This 440-nucleotide ribosomal RNA is filed under the name uncultured bacterium. Its description in RNAcentral is "bacterial SSU rRNA". It matches the Rfam family "Bacterial small subunit ribosomal RNA", at positions 338 to 795 of the family's 1533-position model. The record is from RNAcentral.